UGCGGGAUCGUCUAAUGGUAGGACGCCUGACUCUGAAUCAGGUAAUCGUGGUUCGAAUCCACGUCCCGCAGCCA
This 74-nucleotide transfer RNA is filed under the name Candidatus Falkowbacteria bacterium RIFOXYA2_FULL_47_9. Its description in RNAcentral is "tRNA-Gln". It matches the Rfam family "tRNA". Rfam says of the family: Transfer RNA (tRNA) molecules are approximately 80 nucleotides in length. Their secondary structure includes four short double-helical elements and three loops (D, anti-codon, and T loops). RNAcentral also lists the same sequence under 1 other name. Lineage: Bacteria; Candidatus Falkowiibacteriota. The record is from RNAcentral.